Balaenoptera acutorostrata (minke whale) is the source of this 919-nucleotide long non-coding RNA. RefSeq lists it as uncharacterized. NCBI's taxonomy places the organism in Eukaryota, Metazoa, Chordata, Mammalia, Artiodactyla, Balaenopteridae. The transcript has 6 exons. The record is from RefSeq and is a predicted model, not a curated record.
GAUCCAACUGCUCGAGGAGAGAGCGGACUUGCAUCACCACGAAAACACUGAGCACAGACCAGCCUUCGAAGGCAAAGCGAAGUGAUCUUUUGGCUAAAACCUUGGUAUUUCUUGCUGAGUCCACCUGACUGAUGCCAUCGCUGAAAGACAAACAAGAACACAUGGAGAAUGUGACUUUCAGGGAAUGAAUGAGAAGAAAAGGAGGUCCAGGAGGUUAGAGAGCAUGCCCAGGGUUCCGCAACUGGUGAGGAGUGGCAAUGGGAUCUAACCCAGGCAUUCUGACUCUGGUGCCCAAGGAGGAAAAACAGGAGUUGGAAAGAAAGCAGGGAUAUUCUAUCCAGUUGAUGAAGAGGGUGGCUAAGAAGAGAAUUUUGACCAGAAGCCAAUAAUGCUAUAACCAUACCCAGACAGCAAAGGCCCACAAUGCCCAGCCAAGAAUAGAAGAAUUAAAGGCGAGGAAAAAGGAUGUAAUUGAUGAUGAAGAUGUUGGUGAUGAUAAGGAUAAUGAUGAUGAUGACCUAGUGAUAAUGACGAUGAUGAUGAUAAUUAAGAUGACAACGACGAUGAUGACGACUGACACUUAACAGUUGUUGGACUGGAAAUGCUAACAUCCUGAAACUCUUGGGACCUCCACACACAACGAAGAAUUGUCCAGGCCAGCAUGCUCUGAGCGUUCCCACUGAGGAAGAAUAAAAGAAGUUCUCAUAGUGGGGAACAUAAAAAACUUCUUUGUGCAUUUUUCUGAACAUUAAUCAAUAAUCCAUUAACUCAGGGAAGCUGAAUGCUCUUCACACAGAAUCCAAAACAAAUUGACAGAUAUCCUCUGGCAAGAACUCUGGAGAGGCUGUGUGGCCUUGGACAAGGCGUUUCAUUUCCUUAGGCCUCAGUUUCUCCAUCUUUAUAGCACUAACAUUCUAUA